RNAcentral lists this ribosomal RNA (426 nucleotides) under uncultured bacterium. RNAcentral's name for it is "partial 16S ribosomal RNA". It matches the Rfam family "Bacterial small subunit ribosomal RNA", at positions 354 to 796 of the family's 1533-position model. The record is from RNAcentral.
GUGAGGAAUUUUCCGCAAUGGGCGAAAGCCUGACGGAGCAAUGCCGCGUGAAGGAUGAAGGCCUAUGGGUUGUAAACUUCUUUUCUCAGAAAAGAAUUAUGACGGUAUCUGAGGAAUAAGCAUCGGCUAACUCUGUGCCAGCAGCCGCGGUAAGACAGAGGAUGCAAGCGUUAUCCGGAAUGAUUGGGCGUAAAGCGUCUGUAGGUUGUUUAAAAAGUAUUCUGUCAAAGAUUAGGGCUUAACCCUAGAUAGGCAGAAUAAACUUUUAAGCUAGAGUUUGGUAGAGGCAGAGGGAAUUCCCGGUGGAGCGGUGAAAUGCGUAGAUAUCGGGAGGAACAACAAAGGCGAAGGCACUCUGCUGGGCCAAUACUAACACUGAGAGACGAAAGCGUGGGGAGCAAACAGGAUUAGAUACCCCGGUAGUCC